This 74-nucleotide transfer RNA is filed under the name Leptolyngbya valderiana BDU 20041. Its description in RNAcentral is "tRNA-Pro". It matches the Rfam family "tRNA". Rfam says of the family: Transfer RNA (tRNA) molecules are approximately 80 nucleotides in length. Their secondary structure includes four short double-helical elements and three loops (D, anti-codon, and T loops). RNAcentral also lists the same sequence under 2 other names. The record is from RNAcentral. Lineage: Bacteria; Bacillati; Cyanobacteriota; Cyanophyceae; Leptolyngbyales; Leptolyngbyaceae.
CGGGAUGUAGCGCAGUUUGGUAGCGCGUCGGCUUUGGGAGCCGAACGUCGCAGGUUCGAAUCCUGCCAUCCCGA